GCCUUCGUGGUGUAGUGGUCAGCACGCUCGGCGCGUAUUCGUAAGGUCAGUGGUUCGAGUCCCGGCGAGGGCA
Molecule: non-coding RNA, 73 nt
Organism: Stegodyphus mimosarum
Lineage: Eukaryota; Metazoa; Arthropoda; Arachnida; Araneae; Eresidae
Source: Rfam